GCGGCGCGGGUCCUGCCAGACCAUCAGCUUGCAACUGCUGUUGCGUUCGCUCAGUUCGAUGCUGGGCCGCCGCU
RNAcentral lists this transfer RNA (74 nucleotides) under Ralstonia solanacearum. RNAcentral describes it as "tRNA-Ala". The record is from RNAcentral. Lineage: Bacteria; Pseudomonadati; Pseudomonadota; Betaproteobacteria; Burkholderiales; Burkholderiaceae.